CACGUAGGGGGCAAGCGUUGUCCGGAUUUAUUGGGCGUAAAGAGCUCGUAGGUGGUUCGGUAAGUCGGGUGUUAAACCCCCAGGCUCAACCUGGGGACGCCACUCGAUACGGGCAGGCUCGAGUUCGGUAGGGGAGACUGGAAUUCCUGGUGUAGCGGUGAAAUGCGCAGAUAUCAGGAGGAACACCGGUGGCGAAGGCGGUGGUCUGGGCCGGCACUGACGCUGAGGAGCGAAAGCGUGGGGAGCGAACAGG
RNAcentral lists this ribosomal RNA (253 nucleotides) under uncultured bacterium. Its description in RNAcentral is "partial 16S ribosomal RNA". It matches the Rfam family "Bacterial small subunit ribosomal RNA", at positions 524 to 776 of the family's 1533-position model. The record is from RNAcentral.